Molecule: small RNA, 77 nt
Filed under: Cricetulus griseus (Chinese hamster)
Lineage: Eukaryota; Metazoa; Chordata; Mammalia; Rodentia; Cricetidae
Source: RNAcentral
UACUAACCAGAUCCGACCCUGCUUAGCUUCCGAGGUCAGAGGAGAUCGGGCAUGUUCAGGGAGGUAUGACCAUAGAC